Molecule: ribosomal RNA, 369 nt
Filed under: uncultured Anoxybacillus sp.
Lineage: Bacteria; Bacillati; Bacillota; Bacilli; Caryophanales; Anoxybacillaceae
Description: bacterial SSU rRNA
Rfam family: Bacterial small subunit ribosomal RNA
Source: RNAcentral
GUUCCCCUUCGGGGGACAGGGUGACAGGUGGUGCAUGGUUGUCGUCAGCUCGUGUCGUGAGAUGUUGGGUUAAGUCCCGCAACGAGCGCAACCCUGACCUUAGUUGCCAGCAUUCAGUUGGGCACUCUAAGGUGACUGCCGGCUAAAAGUCGGAGGAAGGUGGGGAUGACGUCAAAUCAUCAUGCCCCUUAUGACCUGGGCUACACACGUGCUACAAUGGGCGGUACAAAGGGUCGCGAACCCGCGAGGGGGAGCCAAUCCCAAAAAGCCGCUCUCAGUUCGGAUUGCAGGCUGCAACUCGCCUGCGUGAAGUCGGAAUCGCUAGUGAUCGUGGAUCAGAAUGUCACGGUGAAUACGUUCCCGGGUCUU